AUUGAACGCUGGCGGCAGGCUUAACACAUGCAAGUCGAGCGGGGUGAUGGUGCUUGCACUAUCACUUAGUGGCGGACGGGUGAGUAAUGCUUAGGAAUCUGCCUAUUAGUGGGGGACAACAUCUCGAAAGGGAUGCUAAUACCGCAUACGUCCUACGGGAGAAAGCAGGGGAUCACUUGUGACCUUGCGCUAAUAGAUGAGCCUAAGUCGGAUUAGCUAGUUGGUGGGGUAAAGGCCUACCAAGGCGACGAUCUGUAGCGGGUCUGAGAGGAUGAUCCGCCACACUGGGACUGAGACACGGCCCAGACUCCUACGGGAGGCAGCAGUGGGGAAUAUUGCACGAUGGGCGCAAGCCUGAUGCAGCCAUGCCGCGUGUGUGAAGAAGGCCUUCGGGUUGUAAAGCACUUUCAGCGGGGAGGAAGGCGGUACGGUUAAUAACCGUGCCGAUUGACGUUACCCGCAGAAGAAGCACCGGCUAACUCCGUGCCAGCAGCCGCCGUAA
This 502-nucleotide ribosomal RNA is filed under the name uncultured bacterium. Its description in RNAcentral is "partial 16S ribosomal RNA". It matches the Rfam family "Bacterial small subunit ribosomal RNA", at positions 30 to 523 of the family's 1533-position model. The record is from RNAcentral.